This is a non-coding RNA of Coturnix japonica (Japanese quail), 4035 nucleotides long. NCBI's taxonomy places the organism in Eukaryota, Metazoa, Chordata, Aves, Galliformes, Phasianidae. The record is from RefSeq and is a predicted model, not a curated record.
AGAAAGAAAAGAAAAGAAAAGAAAAGAAAAAUCCAAAGUUUUUCCUUCUUUCUAUUUCUUUGGCUCAAUAUCAGUCAGUUAAAAUGUCAGAUUACCUACCUUAGUUAAAUCAGUGAAAGCAGACGUAGUAUACAGAUCACAAGUAUUUCUGCAGUACUUAGAAAGCCCACCCUUCUAACUGAGAAGAGAAAAGGAAGAAAGUUUAUUUUAUCACCAUCAGUAUAAACCUGAAACAGUGUAUGUGCCUAUUCAGACAGAUUUUCUGCAUUUACAUCUUCACAACCUCAGUUUUAGUAUGCUUGACAUUUUCACAAGACUCUUAAGACCACAAGCAAGGUUUAAGCAUGCAGGAUGAAGAUUUGAAGCACGUAGGAUGUAAUACACAUUUGGAAAGGAAUUCUUUCCUUCUUUGCAUGAAGCCUUGGUUCCAGCUGACACUGCAGCACUCCCUGAAGGCCCCAGUUGUGCUCAGGCCCCAGAAUUGUGCAGUGGGGUGAGUGUAUGUGUGCUCAGAGCACCAAUGACCAACAUGAUACUGCAAACACUUGAGCUGGAUGUUCAUACUUAUCAAACUGCACAGAUCAUGGGUACCAGUAUUCAUAUACUGCAGUCAGUUAAAAUAUCACCUAAUGCUAUAUAUGUGCAAAACAGAGAAUUAAUUCUGUACUAAAAGGUAACAUGUUCAAGAAUAGCAGAAAUGGACCCCAAACAUAUUUUCUGAUCUGUGAAAAAUGUUGGACUUUUCAAACAUUAUCUAAAAAGGGAUGCAAUGACUUAAAGGACUGAGAACAGUAGAAAUGGAACAAGAUGACAUGCGAGGAUGUGGAAGAUCGCACUCUGGAGUUAGAUUAUUUCAUGUUUUAAGUUUGGACUGCAGUGGCCAAAGGGAGUAGGUGGAAAGUAUUUUGGCAUUUGAUUUGAUCGCACAGGAUCUGCAUGUGAUAUCCACCCAGGAGGAAAAGGAAAAAAAAAAAAAAAAAAGAAGGCCACUGGGUUGCUAUUGUGGGAAAUUAUUUUAUGCUAUUAUCCUAGGUGCAGGUGAGGCCUCACUGGGUAUAUUAUGCGGAGUCAUAGUCAGAAAAAGGGUUGCCAAGACAGCACAGACUAAAAAGGAACCUCCUGUCUGUAAGGUGGUCAGAAGCAGAUGUCUUAGCUCAGCAAACGAAGUCAAAGGAGAAGGUGUGAUGGCUGUUUGGAAAUGUCUAAGAAGAAGGAUCAUCGGAUUAGGCAAAGAAAUGGUUGUGCUCCAGUGUGGAAGCACAGACACUGUCUUGGAAAUAAAUAAUGUAAUCUAAGCAUAAAGAGAGGUAAAUACAUUCACACUCACAAGACUAGUGGAGGUGGGGAACACUGACUUGCAGUGGGAGUAACUGAAUUCAUUUACUGAAGAUUAUUCUGAUCCUUUUUUUUUCCUUACAAGCUGAAAUCUCAAAGAAUCUCAAAAAAAAAACAAAACAAUCUAAAAUAAAAGAUAAUUUUGAAAGAGGAAACAAGAAAAAGAGCAGAUAGCCAAGAGCAAGAGAGCAAGAAUAUGAGAGAGGGAGAGAGACAAGGCAAAGGAGAAACAGAAGGGAAGAAAGAUGUUUUCAAAUAAAAGGAAUUGUUCACAACAAACUAUUUUAAUCCAUUCAUUUGAAGCACUUUUCAGUUGAGUCUUUUGCCAAAAUGUGCUCCUUCAUUAUUUGAUUUCAAUGAAUCGGCAUUUUCUUUCGUACCGAUAAAAAUUGUUACAAAACCCUAAAUCCACUACUACACAAAUACCUCUCUGUUAUUUGAAGUUCUCCUUCACUCGCAAUACCUAAUUUGCAGAUUGAUAUAAGUUUAAAUAUGUGAAAAAUAUGGUAAGCUUACAGGAACAGAAAAUUGGACUAUGUUCUGGCUUGUUUAUCGUUGCUGGGAAGAAAUUCUCAGUUAAUGUUCUCCGAAUCAAGGGAUUCAAAAGCUUUUCUCUAUUAAUUUUUGUGAUUUUAAUCACAGAGACAAGGAAAAUGCAAAGUCUCUUUUUCUUUACUAAGUCAUGUGGGCUGAGAGAAGAACCUCGGCUAUUUUUAUUUUCUGCUGACCACACAGAUGCAAAGAAUUCAACUCAUGAUUAAAUGUGCAUUUGAGCUGAGAUGUACUGGAUUUUGUUUGCAUGGUCAUUCAUACAGAGGAAUAUAUAAGCUCCAAAAAUACAUACAAAUUAAUCAUACACCUAUCAUAUCAUAUCAUAUCAUAUCAUAUCAUAUCAUAUCAUCAUAGAUUUAUAGAUACAUAUAGAUAUAUAUAGAUAUGAUACUAUGAUGAAUCAUACACCUAAUAUCAACUUCAUUAAUAUUAACCUAUUUUCAGGUAAUCACUGGUUCAUACAGGCAUAUUACAUCAUAAAUGAUCUUCAACAAUACGUAACAAUAUUUAUGUUAAAAUAUUUUUAUUUUCCCUCAAUUUUUUGAGGCAAAGUGAACACUGGAAUAGAAGUCAUCUAAUGAUGCAAAAGUCUGAGGAAAUCAUAAAUGCAGGAACACGAGUGGUUAGAACUGAAUGCUCUUCACUGCUCUUACCAUCUCAGUCUACAAACAUGACCGUGUGUCCAGAUGCAGCACAUGAGCCUUCCACAUGACAACUGUUCUAUGGCUCAGGUGUGAAGGAAAAGAGAAGGUAGACUACCCAAGCAAAUCCAACUGGAAACAGUAAAAGUGCCUGGAACAUAAUAGGAGUAUAGAAGCUGACUUUUCAUUUGAACGAAUGAGACUGAUCCUGAGUAGAAAAGAGGAUGGAGAUAUUAUACAAAAUUAAGAGAAAUAAUUCUCCAGCUUAAGAAGAUUGCACUGCAAUACAAAGAGGCGCAGAAGUGAUACGAAGAGCAAAAGGACUGUGAAAAUUGCACUAAAAUAUUUUGGUUACUUGUUUUACUUUUUAUUUGUUUGCUUGCUUUUGUUUUUAAUUUAUACUGCAUUUUCUUCAAUUGUUUCUCAUCAUUCUUUCAUGUUGAGCUUAAGACAUUUGUGCAAGCAAUUUUAUUUCAAACAAAAAUUAAGAUUUGGUAGAUAAGCAAAAAAAUACCCACAUUUUUAUAUCUUCACAUGCACAUGUUUUCACUGAAUUUACUCAAGCACCUCAUCCAGUCAAAGAGUAAGAACAAUCCAGUUCAACAAGCAAGAUCCACAAACAUUUCAAGUAAUAAAGAAUGACUUCAAAGAGCUUUUUUCUGAUGAAAACUGAAACAUCCACUGAGCAUAUUAGAGAAAGCUGUGUCUGUUCAUGCAUAGAUUGGAUUCUGGACCACAACAUCAUUUUCCUUAACCCACAUGAAGAAGGAUGAGGGAAAAGCAGAUAGGGAUAAACCUUUAGCACUGAAGCUGUGAUUUCAAGCCAAAGCCUGCCCUGAUGGAGCCUUAUGGAGGGAUUAUGAAAGGCUUCUACAGACCAGGAAAACAAGUCCUUCUUUCAUCCUGUAAACAUCAGAGAAGUGAGAAAAAACAGAAAGACCUGGAAAUGAGAAAGAUCAGUAAAGGAGAGCAGUAGAUUAAUCCAGUGUGACUGAGAGGAAGAACCGGGAAUCUUGGUCAAGCACAUCUGGAAGUUCAAUCAUGCAACCAGACUGUCCUCCUUUUUCAGGCUACAGCAUCAUGCCAUGUGGUUAUUUGUUUCCAUGUGUCAUAUUUAUGUAUCACAUAUAUUGUCUACAUAGUGACAACCACACAUAUAUUUAUAAGAUAUCUACUAAAAUGAAGAGGUCUGGAGAAGCCAUAUAGUACUGAAUUACAAAAUAAGAGGGGAAAAAAAUUCUUCCAGAAUGCUCCAUCCUGUGCUUUCUUCCAUUAUUCCGUUGACAAAACAUAAAGUACUUCCAACAUAUUUAACUUACUGAAGUCUGAAGACAUCCUUGAUAUUUACAUUUAUUUCUAAUCCGGUUCCUUUGUUACUGAAUCAGUUUAGAAAAACUUCUCUGUUCAGGAAAGCACUUAAACAUACACAGAAGGACAUUCUUAAAGGUAAGUGUGUUCCUGAGUAAAUCUUAUCAUUUAAUGUUAAUAAAAACCCCUUCAUAAACCA